This is a non-coding RNA of Myotis brandtii (Brandt's bat), 75 nucleotides long. Lineage: Eukaryota; Metazoa; Chordata; Mammalia; Chiroptera; Vespertilionidae. The record is from Rfam.
GAUGGUUCUCGGGUGACACACCCCAGAAUCGGGCUUUCUCCUCUCUGGUUCCAGGUGCAUCACCAGAGAACCACA